RNAcentral lists this ribosomal RNA (477 nucleotides) under Geobacillus sp. EGU437. RNAcentral describes it as "bacterial SSU rRNA". It matches the Rfam family "Bacterial small subunit ribosomal RNA", at positions 36 to 502 of the family's 1533-position model. Lineage: Bacteria; Bacillati; Bacillota; Bacilli; Caryophanales; Anoxybacillaceae. The record is from RNAcentral.
GUCCUGCGGCAUGCUAUACAUGCAAGUCGAGCGGACCGAACGGAAGCUUGCUUCUGUUCGGUUAGCGGCGGACGGGUGAGUAACACGUGGGUAACCUGCCCGUAAGACCGGGAUAACUCCGGGAAACCGGGGCUAAUACCGGAUAACACCGAAGACCGCAUGGUCUUUGGUUGAAAGGUGGCUUUUGCUACCACUUACGGAUGGGCCCGCGGCGCAUUAGCUAGUUGGUGAGGUAACGGCUCACCAAGGCGACGAUGCGUAGCCGGCCUGAGAGGGUGACCGGCCACACUGGGACUGAGACACGGCCCAGACUCCUACGGGAGGCAGCAGUAGGGAAUCUUCCGCAAUGGGACGAAAGUCUGAGGGAGCGACGCCGCGUGAGCGAAAAAAGGUCUUCGGAUCGUAAAGCUCUGUUGUUAGGGAAAAAAUUUUACCGUUCAAAUAGGGGCGGUACGGGACGGGUGCGGAAGAAGAACC